CCCAGGAUGACCUCACUCUCAGGGCUUUUAUGAUGUCACCCAUUGUGACCUUUUCCCUGGCUGUAUUUAUUGAGGGGGCCUGAGCUGGUGUUCAGAAACCCACCUUGUCCCUGCUGGGGACUGGAGCCAGAGCCUCCACACCCUGCUCCACCUAGCCAGAGGUGAUGCUUCACCAAGACCUUAGACUGACCAGAGAUUUUCUCGUUGAUGCUUAUGGUCUAUUGUUUAUUUCAGACCCUCUGGGCUGAAGAUUUGACAACCUGCUCCUGAAUCUCCUGGUAGCCAUGGACAUGAUUUACAACUAUCUACACAUCUUUGCUGUUGGUGUUUACAAUGUUUUCCAAAUGAACAUAGAACAGAUUCCCAUCCUGGCCCAAAAUAUCUGUUCUCGGAUGUUUAUCCUCACCCUCUGGAUCCUGUGGCAGGCACUACUUAUGAUGAAGACCUGUGCUGUGACAUUCAUUGCUCUUCUGCUUCCCAUGGCUCGAGGUUUCACUCUCCAGCUUCUAAGACACCUCAGGCAUGAGCGACUAAUGUCAAUACUUAAUGGGACGCAAUGGGCCUAUUAUGGUCUGGUCUUCUUUUACCAGGAAGAUGGUUAUGAAGUAGUCCUAAAGGCCAUUCUAUACCAUCUACUCUUCACUUUGAUCAGGACAUGUCUUCGCUUAUUCUGGACUAUGAUUCACCACGGGACCAGUGUGAUGAGACACCUGCAGCAGACAGGGUUUUGGAGAAAUAAUCAACGGGCCAGAAACCCCAGACGUCAUUGUCUAGAGGAUGUCAGAUUACAGUGGCCAAGGCCUCCCCAAAUCCCGGCAGCCCAGCCUUUUCAAGCCAACCUAGCCGAACCCAAUAUGCCGCAGUUUCCAAUCAACCCAGCUGAGUGUCAUCUCCCUCACCUCCUGAAUUACAACACCUGGCAGAGGCUAUCUCUGGAACAGCAGGAAGAGGAGGAGGAGGAACAGCAGCAACAACAGCAGUGGGGGGAGGAGGAGGAGGAGGAGGAGGAGGAGGGAGGAGGAGGAGGAGGAGGAGGAGGGGGAGGAGCAGAAGCAGCAGACCCCGGAAUCACAUACUUUCCCCCACUGCUCUCUUCAGCCUAUCCCAUCACUAGCCACACCUUUCAGCGUGGGCACAUCAGAUUGGAUGAGACUACCAGGCACUACUGGUUUCACACCAGAGGGAUACCCACGAACAGCAGGGUGCUAAGUGAAGUCAAGAGGAGGCCAGCUGUCCAGUCACCAAGGCAGACUCUCUACCAGCAACUCAGAAAUGCCUGCAUUGUCACUAUUUUGUUGUUCUCAAUCUACUACGCAUACCAGUACUUUUCAGGUUACUGAAUAAAGUGACUCCUUGUGAAAUGGCUCUAAGACUCCCUGUGCUGUUUAUUUCCUAGUUGAGAGGCUGCUAGAGCAGUAGGACC
Molecule: long non-coding RNA, 1423 nt
Filed under: Phascolarctos cinereus (koala)
Lineage: Eukaryota; Metazoa; Chordata; Mammalia; Diprotodontia; Phascolarctidae
Description: lncRNA (ENSPCIG00000018634.2)
Source: RNAcentral